This 443-nucleotide ribosomal RNA is filed under the name uncultured rumen bacterium. Its description in RNAcentral is "bacterial SSU rRNA". It matches the Rfam family "Bacterial small subunit ribosomal RNA", at positions 948 to 1392 of the family's 1533-position model. The record is from RNAcentral.
AAUUCGAUUAACGCGAAGAACCUUACCCGGGCUUGAACUGCAGGAGAAGGCGGCAGAGAUGCCAACGUCCUUCGGGACUCCUGUGGAGGUGCUGCAUGGUUGUCGUCAGCUCGUGCCGUGAGGUGUCGGCUUAAGUGCCAUAACGAGCGCAACCCCUUUCGUCAGUUGCCAUCAGGUGAUGCUGGGCACUCUGGUGAUACUGCCACCGUAAGGUGUGAGGAAGGUGGGGAUGACGUCAAAUCAGCACGGCCCUUACGUCCGGGGCUACACACGUGUUACAAUGGGGUAUACGGAAGGCGGGAUCACGGCAACGUGGUUCAAAUCUUUAAAGUGCUCCUCAGUUCGGAUUGGGGUCUGCAACCCGACCUCAUGAAGCUGGAUUCGCUAGUAAUCGCGCAUCAGCCAUGGCGCGGUGAAUACGUUCCCGGGUCUUGUACACACCG